UUGAAUACACCGGAAUAAUGGCCGGAGAAGCCAUAGAUCUAUAGAUCUGAGAAGGAUCUGAAGAGGGACAUUGAAGUUGGGCUUCCAAACCUCGAGUAGCUUAGGUUUAAUGGUGAGAGGGUGAGUACAGGCCAUCCAUGGCCUAAAAUGCCAUGGAUUCCAUUGGAAAUAUGGUAGAAUAAGGUGGGAGGCGAUUAGGGUUUUGGAGUGGUUAGAGAGUGUUUCAGAGACGAAGGGGUUUCAAAGGCGAUG
Molecule: long non-coding RNA, 252 nt
Filed under: Nicotiana benthamiana
Lineage: Eukaryota; Viridiplantae; Streptophyta; Magnoliopsida; Solanales; Solanaceae
Description: long non-coding RNA (NBEN_LNC004585)
Source: RNAcentral